GUAUGUAUUUAAAAAACAUAUAAUUGAUUAUAUUUUAAUAUUUUAAAUAAUCUAAUUCAUAAUUUUGUUUAUAUUUAAAACACAAAAGUAAAAGAUCAACAGAAGGGGAAAAUCACGUGAAUGGGGCUCAAAGUGAGAAACAUGAAAUUUAUGGUCUAUCAAAUUUGUGGCUGUAAAAGGGGGAAAUCAAGAAGAAAAUUGAGCUCCUCUCUCCCAAUUCGUGGUCGAUCUCAACAGACAUGGCGGCGUACUUUGAUUUGUAUUGUACCCGAGCGAUGCAGAUAAGCAUCUGUUGGCAAGAAAGACCGGUCUAUCCCGAAAUCAGGUUUGUCCCUCUCCACUCUCAGCUUUCCACAAUUCACCACACUUUUACAUUGUAUCUAAGAGGGAAUCUUUACUCUGUUAAUUUUAAUGUAAUUAUAGUACAUGAUGAACGAACGGACCACAUAAGAAAAUGAAAGAUAAUCUGUUAAGGGAAUGGAAGAAAAGGGGUCAGUUGUAGGUUCAGAUAAAAUUUGCAUGGUUUUGGGUUUUUGUUGAUUUCUCUGGUUUCAUACUGACAUUUGUGGUGGCGUGGUGAGAGAUGCUGUGGGACAGUGUGUCUUGGCUUCAACAGUAACCUGGGCGAGUUCAUGUUCGACGACACCGCCGAGGUGCAGAUAAUCGAUCUCUUGCCAUCCUGAAAAGUUGGGCAAUGGGAUUUUCUCUGUCAAGCAUUUCCUUUAGAUCUUCAACUAUGGUUGCAUCAAGUUCUUCUGCCUUUGCUCCCUUUUUGAAGGAGCACAUUCUAUUUUGGAUUUCAUUUUCUGUAUCAUGGAUAUAAAGCUGGCAGAAUUUUGGGGUUUCUCCUUCUUCAGUUGCAGAGAUUCAAUGCAGAUCUUCUAAGCGAUUGGGAAUAUGCUCCAAGUUGGACUUUGCAGCGUUCACUUCAGAUCCAAUUGAGGAGUCGUUGAUUUCCAAUAUGGUCUCUGUUACUUUGUCUGGUACUCAUCUUUAUUUGAAAAACAUGUGAAGAGCCUAUGGUUUUCAGGAGUUGUGGAGGAAUCACAACUGAACUUUGUUGAUGUGUUAGAGACCUUUCUUUUGCAAUGAGGGCAGGAAACAUAAAACCACCCGUUUUUCAGCAAGAUGUCAUUUAUAGUUGCAGCACAACAAUAGGAUGUUGAAGUCUAAGGUAUGUAUGAUUUGAGUGUGUUUGAGUUGUUUAUAUAGAGAUAUGCAAUAGUGCAUGAUUUAGUGUAAUUCAAUUAUUUCAAAUUAAUGUAGGUAGAUGAAUAGGCUCUUUGUAUUGCCAAGUUUUAUCAGUUUUAUCAGUUUUUGCAGGGUGGUUCACUGCUUUGAAAUGGGAGGUUAUGGAUUUGUGCAGAAUUUAUGAAAUUGAGAGACAGUAUUAAUUUCAAUUAACAUUGUUAUUGAAAAAGUGUGCUCAAAAACAUUGUACACGUGAUGUAUAUAGUAUAUAGAAGAUUUCUUUGAGCAGCUGAAGGAAAUUCCGUUGGAAUAAUUUCUUUAAUGUCACUAUGUAGUAUUGUUGUCAGUUUCACAUUUGUCAUUUUCAUUAAGUGUUGUGUAGUCAGUUUUAUAUUUGUCAGUUUCAGGUUGUUGUGUAACUUUCCUUGGUUACUUGUCAGCCUCAUUGAGAAGCAUCUGUCAUCUUUGUAAUUGAAGUUGGAUUUGAUGAAACACAUACGUGUGCAAAGUGUAUUGAAAUCUCUAUUGACCACA
RNA transcript from Lotus japonicus, 1725 nucleotides. RefSeq lists it as uncharacterized. NCBI's taxonomy places the organism in Eukaryota, Viridiplantae, Streptophyta, Magnoliopsida, Fabales, Fabaceae. The transcript is spliced from 8 exons. The record is from RefSeq and is a predicted model, not a curated record.